Molecule: long non-coding RNA, 1526 nt
Filed under: Takifugu rubripes (torafugu)
Lineage: Eukaryota; Metazoa; Chordata; Actinopteri; Tetraodontiformes; Tetraodontidae
Description: lncRNA (ENSTRUG00000027929.1)
Source: RNAcentral
AGCCGAGUGAGACAAAAGCGCUGUGUUCAUUUCAGCUGAAGAGGAGCCGCUGCACGGACGCCAAAGUAUCCUUAUAAAACCACCCUAAUUUGCAAAGUGGUGCUAUAUGUGGAAGUGCGGCGUCCUGUUCCUGCACGCUAGACCCACAUAAAUGCUGGACAAAAACUUCCGGACGCUAGGGAAGCCGCGACAGCGAGCUGCUUCCUAGCAAACACCUCCAGAAUCAUCGCUCACUCCGACUGAACUGACACACUUGGCUUUUCGAUCAAUGUCGAGAACGUUGUCGCAGGGAGUCAGUCACAGCUCAAGGGACGUGUGCAAACGACAGAGUGGCCAGCAAGGACAUGGCGGUGAUGUCAAGUGCUGUCCAGCGAGCAGAUGGAGCCAUUAAUGGAGGGGAAAAAAGAGAUCUGAGUGGGACUGAUAGAUGCCUUAACAAGGCACCUUUAAUGAGGUAUUCCAGAAGCCUCUCUUUGUACUCGCUCUUUCCCUGUCCAGAAUCCUCCGUGCGUCUCGUGUCCCAGAGCUGCGGUGACUCAGAGACGCCAGAGUUAUGUUUUACUUAGCGCGACAGUAAUAAGGUCACAUUAUCUGGAGUUGUCCCGUGUAAUGAAAUACUGAUCUCAGUAAAGCUUCUGUCAUUUUGAUUCUCUUUGAGACGGCCGCGCUCCCUGGUUAUUUAGGGACGGCGGCUUUGUCUCAGUGCGGAGACAAAGAGAAGAAGAAACCCGAUAAUCCCGGGCGCAUUUCUCUUAUCAUGGGCCCACCAACAUGAUUCACUUGAUAAUGAGCAAUGUGUCAUUUCUGACAUUUCCAACUGAUGGCGGCCGGCGUCCACGGGCGCCACAGGCAUGCCCACGUGUUGCUUCCUUUGCGUCCAUGCGGACGACCUUCUCAACCAGCUGGACUCAUCGACUUCCUGCCUGCUGCGAUCAGCAACAACGCCGUGCGCGUUCCCGGUGCACACGCGCGCACGGCGUUGUUGUUGAUCGCCGCUCCCGGCUGGCGCUCAGAUUAUUGGGACAUGUCCCCGAGCGUGUGCAGAUUAAUGUGACCUGCACAGGAUGUGGGGACGGAAGAGGUCGACAAAGGAGGGAAGGCGAGAGGGCCUCUGGGUUGAGCUGUCAAAUGGACCUUCGGAGGGAAAGAAAUAUGCUGGGCCCGUCUCAUCCAGACCCGACCAGACGCUCCCAUGCAAUAUUGAAGAGACUUGGAGUGAAGGAACAGUACAAUGUGACCUAAAAACAGCAGCUAAAAUGCCUUCAAGGCGUAUAUGAUUAGCUGUUAUCUGGAGCGCAACUUUGAAAUGUUUACACUAAAAUCGUACUGGAAAAAGAUUUAUGGAGCGGGUCAAAAGUCCUGUUGCAUUUAGAAAACAAGACACUCAGAGGCCUAAAUACCUCGACUCUGGAUGACCCGGAGAGGAGAGAAACUUCAUUAAUAUGGAGGCAAGUGAGUCAAAUAAACCAUUCAAGCCAAAGUUCAUGAGACACGUGGAGGAAAUAUUUCCUAACGCCUAACGCCCG